This 295-nucleotide unclassified non-coding RNA is filed under the name Pseuderanthemum variabile. RNAcentral's name for it is "partial miscellaneous RNA". Lineage: Eukaryota; Viridiplantae; Streptophyta; Magnoliopsida; Lamiales; Acanthaceae. The record is from RNAcentral.
AACAAAUGGAUAAGACUUGGUCUUAGUGUAUUAGGAGUUUUUUAAACUAGAAUCACAUAAGGAGCAAUAAAUUCUCUUGAGAGAACAAGAAAGAGUUUAUUGCUCCUUAAUUUUCUUUUCAAUUAUUAGUAUUUUUUAGUAACAUUGUACUUACUUACAUUUUUCUUCUUUCCAUUACAGAAGAAGAAGGAAAAGGUAUUCGAUUCUUAAUCUUAGGGGUUGAUUAAUGAUUGAGUAUUAUUCGUUCGUUCUUUAGGAAUUUUUUGUAUCUAUCUAACUUAUCUAGGGGCGGAUG